This 256-nucleotide ribosomal RNA is filed under the name uncultured bacterium. RNAcentral describes it as "partial 16S ribosomal RNA". It matches the Rfam family "Bacterial small subunit ribosomal RNA", at positions 524 to 776 of the family's 1533-position model. The record is from RNAcentral.
UACAGAGGUCCCGAGCGUUGUUCGGAUUCACUGGGCGUAAAAGGGUGCGUAGGUGGCUUGACAAGUUUGAUGUGAAAUCUCCGGGCUUAAACCCGGGAAAAUGCAUUGAAUACUGUAGAGGCUUGAGGUUUGGAGGGGGACUGGAAUUCUCGGUGUAGCAGUGAAAUGCGUAGAUAUCGAGAGGAACACCAGUGGCGAAGGCGAGUCCCUGGACAACACCUGACACUGAGGCACGAAAGCCGGGGGAGCAAACAGG